CUACGGGAUGCAGCAGUGAGGAAUAUUGCACAAUGGGGGGAACCCUGAUGCAGCAACGCCGCGUGGAGGAUGACGCAUUUCGGUGUGUAAACUCCUUUUAUAUGUCAAGAAAAUGACGGUAGCAUAUGAAUAAGCACCGGCUAACUCCGUGCCAGCAGCCGCGGUAGAUACAGAGGUCUCAAGCGUUGUUCGGAUUCAUUGGGCGUAAAGGGUGCGUAGGUGGCGAUGUAAGUCGGAUGUGAAAUCUCCAAGCUUAACUUGGAAACUGCAUUCGAUACUGCGUUGCUCGAGGACUGUAGAGGGCAGUGGAAUUCACGGUGUAGCAGUGAAGUGCGUAGAUAUCGUGAGGAAGACCAGUGGCGAAGGCGAAUGCCUGGGCAGUUCCUGACACUGAGGCACGAAGGCCAGGGGAGCAAACGGGAUUAGAUACCCGCGUAGUC
Molecule: ribosomal RNA, 440 nt
Filed under: uncultured bacterium
Lineage: Bacteria
Description: partial 16S ribosomal RNA
Rfam family: Bacterial small subunit ribosomal RNA
Source: RNAcentral